RNAcentral lists this long non-coding RNA (691 nucleotides) under Nicotiana tabacum (common tobacco). Its description in RNAcentral is "long non-coding RNA (NTAB_LNC006310)". Lineage: Eukaryota; Viridiplantae; Streptophyta; Magnoliopsida; Solanales; Solanaceae. The record is from RNAcentral.
UUGGAGCCCUAAUGCUGACUAAAGGAAAAGUUUAGUUUAGGGUUGAAGCCCUAAUGCUGACUAACUGGGGAAGAGUUCAGUUUAGGGUUGGAGCCCUAAUGCUGACUAAAGGGAAAAGUUCAGUUUAGGGUUGGAGCCCUAAUGCUGACUAAAUGGAAAAAGUUCAGUUUAGGGUUGGAGCCCUAAUGCUGACUAACUGGGAAGAGUUCAGGUUAGGGUCUGAGCCCUAAUGCUGGCGGAAAUGAAAGAGUUCAGUUCAGGGUUGGAGCCCUAAUGCUGACUAAACGGAAAAGUUCAGUUUAGGGUUGGAGCCCUAAUGCUGACUAAUUGGGGAAAGUUCAAUUUAGGGUUGGAGCACUAAUGCUGACUAAAGGGAAAAAGUUCAGUUUAGGGUUGGAGCCCUAAUGCUGACUAACUGGGGAAAAGUUCAGUUUAGGGUUGGAGCCCUAAUGCUGACUAAAGGGAAAAAGUUCAGUUUAGGGUUGGAGCCCUAAUGCUGACUAACUAGGGAAAAGUUCAGUUUAGGGUUUGAGCCCUAAUGCUGACUAACAGACAAGGCUCAGUUCAGGGUUGGAUCCCUAAUGCUGGCUAAAAAUGGAAAAAGUUCAGUUUAGUGUUGGAUCCCUAAUGCUGACUAAAGGGAAAAGUUCAGUUUAGGGUUGGAGCCCUAAUGCUGACUAACUGGGGAAGA